CAGUUUAUACCGUAGCUUGCUACACCAUAGACUGUGAGUUGCGAACGGGUGAGUAACGCGUAGGUAACCUACCUAUUAGAGGGGGAUAACUAUUGGAAACGAUAGCUAAUACCGCAUAACAGUAUGUAACACAUGUUAGAUGCUUGAAAGAUGCAAUUGCAUCGCUAGUAGAUGGACCUGCGUUGUAUUAGCUAGUAGGUAGGGUAAUGGCCUACCUAGGCAACGAUACAUAGCCGACCUGAGAGGGUGAUCGGCCACACUGGGACUGAGACACGGCCCAGACUCCUACGGGAGGCAGCAGUAGGGAAUCUUCGGCAAUGGGGGGAACCCUGACCGAGCAACGCCGCGUGAGUGAAGAAGGUUUUCGGAUCGUAAAGCUCUGUUGUUAAGGAAGAACGAGUGUGAGAAUGGAAAGUUCAUGCUGUGACGGUACUUAACCAGAAAGGGACGGCUAACUACGUGCCAGCAGCCGCGGUAAUACGUAGGUCCCGAGCGUUGUCCGGAUUUAUUGGGCGUAAAGCGAGCGCAGGCGGUUAGAAAAGUCUGAAGUGAAAGGCAGUGGCUCAACCAUUGUAGGCUUUGGAAACUGUUUAACUUGAGUGCAGAAGGGGAGAGUGGAAUUCCAUGUGUAGCGGUGAAAUGCGUAGAUAUAUGGAGGAACACCGGUGGCGAAAGCGGCUCUCUGGUCUGUAACUGACGCUGAGGCUCGAAAGCGUGGGGAGCGAACAGGAUUAGAUACCCUGGUAGUCCACGCCGUANACGAUAAGUGCUAGGUGUUAGGUC
Molecule: ribosomal RNA, 783 nt
Filed under: uncultured bacterium
Lineage: Bacteria
Description: bacterial SSU rRNA
Rfam family: Bacterial small subunit ribosomal RNA
Source: RNAcentral